This 292-nucleotide unclassified non-coding RNA is filed under the name plant metagenome. RNAcentral describes it as "partial contains small subunit ribosomal RNA, internal transcribed spacer 1, and 5.8S ribosomal RNA". The record is from RNAcentral.
UUUCCGUAGGUGAACCUGCGGAAGGAUCAUUAUUGAAUAAACCUGAUGUGGUUGUAGCUGGCCCUUUCGGGAGCAUGUGCACACCCGUCGUCUUUAUCUUUCCACCUGUGCACCUUUUGUAGACCUGGAUGUAACACUUUCCGAGGCAACUCGGUCGGGAGGAAUGCUGUCAGCUUUCCUUGAAUGUCCAGGCCUAUGUUUUCAUAUACCCCAAAGAAUGUAACAGAAUGUAUUAUUGGGCCCUGUGCCUAUAAACUAUAUACAACUUUCAGCAACGGAUCUCUUGGCUCUC